GUCAAUCUUUCCAACUAAGUACCCCCGACUCAUAAUCGUGGGGUCGGGGGUUCAAGUCCCCCCCUCGCCACCA
Molecule: transfer RNA, 73 nt
Filed under: Cereibacter sphaeroides WS8N
Lineage: Bacteria; Pseudomonadati; Pseudomonadota; Alphaproteobacteria; Rhodobacterales; Paracoccaceae
Description: Rhodobacter sphaeroides WS8N tRNA-OTHER
Source: RNAcentral